GAUCUCAUAGUUAAAUUGGAUAUAACAAUUCCCUCCUAAGGAUUAAUUUCUGGUUCAAAUCCAGAUGAGAUCACCA
RNAcentral lists this transfer RNA (76 nucleotides) under Rickettsiales bacterium. Its description in RNAcentral is "tRNA-Arg". It matches the Rfam family "tRNA". From Rfam's summary of the family: Transfer RNA (tRNA) molecules are approximately 80 nucleotides in length. Their secondary structure includes four short double-helical elements and three loops (D, anti-codon, and T loops). The record is from RNAcentral. Lineage: Bacteria; Pseudomonadati; Pseudomonadota; Alphaproteobacteria; Rickettsiales.